CCUACGGGAGGCAGCAGUGAGGAAUAUUGGUCAAUGGGCUUACGCCUGAACCAGCCAAGUCGCGUGAGGGAAGACUGCCCUAUGGGUUGUAAACCUCUUUUGUCAGGGAGCAACGCCGGCUACGUGUAGCCGGUCUGAGAGUACCUGAAGAAAAAGCAUCGGCUAACUCCGUGCCAGCAGCCGCGGUAAUACGGAGGAUGCGACCGUUAUCCGGAUUUAUUGGGUUUAAAGGGUGCGUAGGCGGAAUGCCAAGUCAGCGGUAAAAUCGCGGGGCUCAACCUCGCUCCGCCGUUGAAACUGGCGUUCUUGAGUGGGCGGGAAGUAUGCGGAAUGCGUGGUGUAGCGGUGAAAUGCAUAGAUAUCACGCAGAACUCCGAUUGCGAAGGCAGCAUACCGGCGCCCAACUGACGCUGAAGCACGAAAGCGUGGGUAUCGAACAGGAUUAGAUACCCCUGUAGUC
Molecule: ribosomal RNA, 460 nt
Filed under: uncultured bacterium
Lineage: Bacteria
Description: partial 16S ribosomal RNA
Rfam family: Bacterial small subunit ribosomal RNA
Source: RNAcentral